CCUACGGGUGGCAGCAGUGGGGAAUAUUGGGCAAUGGAGGCAACUCUGACCCAGCAACGCCGCGUGAGAGAUGAAGGUCUUCGGAUUGUAAAGCUCUUUAAGCGGGGACGAAGAAAGUGACUGUACCCGCAGAAUAAGCAUCGGCUAACUACGUGCCAGCAGCCGCGGUAAUACGUAGGCGGCAAGCGUUAUCCGGAAGGACUGGGCGUAAAGGGUGCGUAGGUGGUUUGGCAAGUCGGUCGCGUAAUCCCUGGGCUCAACCUCGGUGCUACUACCAAAACUGUUGAACUUGAGUGCAGGAGAGGUGAAUGGAAUUCCCAGUGUAGCGGUGGAAUGCUUAGAUAUUACACAGAACACCGAUUGCGAAGGCAGCUUGCUGGGCCGGAUCUGACACUGAUGCACGAAAGCGUGGGGAUCGAACAGGAUUAGAUACCCUAGUAGUC
Molecule: ribosomal RNA, 443 nt
Filed under: uncultured bacterium
Lineage: Bacteria
Description: partial 16S ribosomal RNA
Rfam family: Bacterial small subunit ribosomal RNA
Source: RNAcentral